UAAGAGUUUGUUUGAACGAGAGCAUGAUCU
RNAcentral lists this non-coding RNA (30 nucleotides) under Mus musculus (house mouse). The record is from RNAcentral. Lineage: Eukaryota; Metazoa; Chordata; Mammalia; Rodentia; Muridae.